UAGGGAAUCUUCGGCAAUGGACGAAAGUCUGACCGAGCAACGCCGCGUGAGUGAAGAAGGUUUCGGAUCGUAAAACUCUGUUGGUAGAGAAGAACGUUGGUGAGAGUGGAAAGCUCAUCAAGUGACGGUAACUACCCAGAAAGGGACGGCUAACUACGUGCCGG
RNAcentral lists this ribosomal RNA (164 nucleotides) under uncultured bacterium. RNAcentral's name for it is "partial 16S rRNA". It matches the Rfam family "Bacterial small subunit ribosomal RNA", at positions 355 to 511 of the family's 1533-position model. The record is from RNAcentral.